AUUGAACGCUGGCGGCAGGCCUAACACAUGCAAGUCGAGCGGAUGAAGGGAGCUUGCUCCUGGAUUCAGCGGCGGACGGGUGAGUAAUGCCUAGGAAUCUGCCUGGUAGUGGGGGAUAACGUCCGGAAACGGGCGCUAAUACCGCAUACGUCCUGAGGGAGAAAGUGGGGGAUCUUCGGACCUCACGCUAUCAGAUGAGCCUAGGUCGGAUUAGCUAGUUGGUGGGGUAAAGGCCUACCAAGGCGACGAUCCGUAACUGGUCUGAGAGGAUGAUCAGUCACACUGGAACUGGGACACGGUCCAGACUCCUACGGGAGGCAGCAGUGGGGAAUAUUGGACAAUGGGCGAAAGCCUGAUCCAGCCAUGCCGCGUGUGAAGAAGGUCUUCGGAUUGUAAAGCACUUUAAGUUGGGAGGAAGGGCAGUAAGUUAAUACCUUGCUGUUUUGACGUUACCAACAGAAUAAGCACCGGCUAACCUCGUG
RNAcentral lists this ribosomal RNA (482 nucleotides) under uncultured bacterium. RNAcentral describes it as "partial 16S ribosomal RNA". It matches the Rfam family "Bacterial small subunit ribosomal RNA", at positions 30 to 507 of the family's 1533-position model. The record is from RNAcentral.